AGAGUUUGAUCUGGCUCAGGGACGAACGCUGGCGGUGCGCAUUAUGCAUGCAAGUCGAGCGAAGCUUUUCAGUAGUUUACUACAGAAAAUGACUGAGCGGCGAACGGGUGAGUAACGCGUGAGCAAUCUACGUUAGUUACAGGGAUAGCCCGAGGAAACUCGGAUUAAUACCUGAUAUUCUUUAUUUCUCGCAUGAGAAUAAAAGGAAAGGUCAGCCGAACUAAGAUGAGCUCGCGUUCUAUCAGCUAGUUGGUGAGGUAAAAGCUUACCAAGGCUACGACGGAUAGCUGGUCUGAGAGGACGAUCAGCCACACUGGGACUGAGACACGGCCCAGACUCCUACGGGAGGCUGCAGCAGGGAAUAUUGUGCAAUGAACGAAAGUUUGACACAGCGACACCGCGUGUGGGAUGACGGAUCUAGGUUUGUAAACCACUUUCAGGAGGGAAGAAAAUGACGGUACCUCCACAAGAAGCCCCGGCCAACUACGUGCCAGCAGCCGCGGUAAUACGUAGGGGGCGAGCGUUGUCCGGAUUUAUUGGGCGUAAAGAGCUCGUAGGCGGUUCAACAAGUCGGUCGUGAAAGUUCAGGGCUCAACCCUGAAAUGUCGAUCGAUACUGUUGUGACUAGGAUACGGUAGAGGUGAGUGGAAUUCCGAGUGUAGCGGUGAAAUGCGUAGAUAUUCGGAGGAACACCAAUUGCGAAGGCAGCUCACUGGACCGCUAUCGACGCUGAGGAGCGAAAGCUAGGGGAGCAAACAGGAUUAGAUACCCUGGUAGUCCUAGCUGUAAACGAUGGAUACUAGACGUAGGAACUGGAUUGACGGUUUCUGUGUCGUAGCUAACGCGUUAAGUAUCCCGCCUGGGGAGUACGGUCGCAAGACUAAAACUCAAAGGAAUUGACGG
This 903-nucleotide ribosomal RNA is filed under the name uncultured marine bacterium. Its description in RNAcentral is "bacterial SSU rRNA". It matches the Rfam family "Bacterial small subunit ribosomal RNA", at positions 8 to 916 of the family's 1533-position model. The record is from RNAcentral.